UACGUAGGUGGCAAGCGUUGUCCGGAUUUACUGGGUGUAAAGGGCGUGUAGGCGGAGCUGCAAGUCAGAUGUGAAAUCCCGGGGCUCAACCCCGGAACUGCAUUUGAAACUGUAGCCCUUGAGUAUCGGAGAGGCAGGCGGAAUUCCUAGUGUAGCGGUGAAAUGCGUAGAUAUUAGGAGGAACACCAGUGGCGAAGGCGGCCUGCUGGGCGACAACUGACGCUGAGGCGCGAAAGCGUGGGGAGCAAACAGG
Molecule: ribosomal RNA, 253 nt
Filed under: uncultured bacterium
Lineage: Bacteria
Description: partial 16S ribosomal RNA
Rfam family: Bacterial small subunit ribosomal RNA
Source: RNAcentral